Non-coding RNA from Poecilia reticulata (guppy), 1699 nucleotides. Lineage: Eukaryota; Metazoa; Chordata; Actinopteri; Cyprinodontiformes; Poeciliidae. The record is from RefSeq and is a predicted model, not a curated record.
AGAUUUAUCUGCCCCGACUCCUCUGAACUUACUUCCAUUUCACUUCCCCGUUUGUUUUUAAAUUAUUGAACAAAUUUGCAACGUCUCACCUGCCGUUUCUCUUCACUUUGUGCUUCCAAAAAGGUCGGUGAGGUCAGCUGAGCAGACGUUCUCAGAAGAACCGAGGAUUCUUUCAAAACCUCCUUAAACGUUUUGAUUCUGCACCAUCUAAGGAGCAAUUUGCUGUUCACGGUUCCUGGUCUUUUCCAGAACCCCUGUGGUCUCUAACUGCUCCACAUCCAGCAUCAAGAAGAACGGAGAGAGAGAGCAACACAGAACGAUUCAUCCAGCUGGACUUCAGGUUCGUCCUUGGGAACUGCCAGCGUCUGAAAUGAAGGUGCCACAGAAGCUGAAUGAGGAGCCGGAGGGUCCAACCGCCCAAGGACGUCCAUCAGUCUUCAGACGAACAGAACCAGCUGGACCGCUUCCUCCAAUCCCUCAUCUUUCGCUUUCAACUGAAACAGUCAGACAGCUGAGGGGAGAUGAACACGGAGAGGAAUCAGGGUGGAUCCCAUCAGAACCAGUGGGGAUACCACGGGUCGAGGUCGGGAACAACGCAGAGCGAAGACAGAAACACCAAGAUGUGAAUAUAAAAUAAAGACGUGAUGCAGGGAUGGAGCUAGUUUCCAUGGGUUUGUUGGAAAACAAGGACUGGACUCCAGACUGGUGCAGCCGGACAGGAGCAAAAGACGUGCGAUUUGCAAAACAAAUGAAAAAUGCUGCAACCACAGGAAAUGGAAGCAGCAAAUAACAAAAACUGAAUAAAACAAACUAAAUCCACAUAAUGGAAGUCCUCCAGACCACCAGGGGGAGCCUGGAGCAGGGAAUACUACCUACAACAACAGUUUAUAAUACUGUAAACACCUGAAGUAUAACGCAACGUUUCUUUCUUCUGGACAUCCCGUCUUUACUGAAGGUCCAAACCAGGUUAUUAUAAUUAACUAAAACAAACAAAAUGACAAAAACUGACUUUAAAAAAAUGUUUUCGUAGCUGAAAUAAAUAAAAUAGGCAAGUAAUGGGGGAAACUAUAACCGACUGGGACCAUAUCCAGAAUAUCUUAUGUUUUCAUGUUUAUGAAUAUUUAUCAGCCUUUUGAACUGAUGUGAAAUAAAUUUAUUUUUCCCACAGAAGCCGUUUAUAGCAGCAGCACUUAUGCUAGUCCACAAAACGGCGACAGCAAAAUCUGGGAUAAAACACCAGGUUGGUCAACGACUGAAUCAUUUUAUUUUUAAAUUGUAUUUUCUGUUGAGUAUUUAUUACCAAAUCAAUGGGCAGAGAAUCACAAUACGCAGCACAAAAAGUUAUCAAAGUAUGAGAAAAUUAAACUGAUAGAAACUUGUAGACACACUUUUAAAACGACUUAAAGCUAACUGCACUAAACAAGCAAAUAGUCACAACAAACUAAAACUAAACUAAAGAAAAACCCAAAACUUUUAUAACUUUAGUCAAAGAUGAUUUGCUGAUCGACUCCCCCUGGUGGCCUGGAGGACUUUGCUCCUGUUUCCUGUGUUUGUAGCAUUUUGACAUUUUCUUCCUGAAACGGUUAGACCCAAGUCAUACCGCUGAGAAGACGGUUUCCCUGAUGCGACCAAAUGUUUGUAAACGCCUAAAUUUAAGGAAAGCUGCAAAAAUAAAAAAUACAUUUCUUGUUUUCUGGCA